Molecule: ribosomal RNA, 1045 nt
Filed under: Salmonella enterica subsp. enterica serovar Enteritidis
Lineage: Bacteria; Pseudomonadati; Pseudomonadota; Gammaproteobacteria; Enterobacterales; Enterobacteriaceae
Description: partial 23S ribosomal RNA
Rfam family: Bacterial large subunit ribosomal RNA
Source: RNAcentral
ACUAUCAUUAACUGAAUCCAUAGGUUAAUGAGGCGAACCGGGGGAACUGAAACAUCUAAGUACCCCGAGGAAAAGAAAUCAACCGAGAUUCCCCCAGUAGCGGCGAGCGAACGGGGAGGAGCCCAGAGCCUGAAUCAGCAUGUGUGUUAGUGGAAGCGUCUGGAAAGGCGCGCGAUACAGGGUGACAGCCCCGUACACAAAAGCGCAUGUGCUGUGAGCUCGAUGAGUAGGGCGGGACACGUGGUAUCCUGUCUGAAUAUGGGGGGACCAUCCUCCAAGGCUAAAUACUCCUGACUGACCGAUAGUGAACCAGUACCGUGAGGGAAAGGCGAAAAGAACCCCGGCGAGGGGAGUGAAAAAGAACCUGAAACCGUGUACGUACAAGCAGUGGGAGCACAGGUUUACCUGUGUGACUGCGUACCUUUUGUAUAAUGGGUCAGCGACUUAUAUUCUGUAGCAAGGUUAACCGAAUAGGGGAGCCGGAGGGAAACCGAGUCUUAAUUGGGCGUUAAGUUGCAGGGUAUAGACCCGAAACCCGGUGAUCUAGCCAUGGGCAGGUUGAAGGUUGGGUAACACUAACUGGAGGACCGAACCGACUAAUGUUGAAAAAUUAGCGGAUGACCUGUGGCUGGGGGUGAAAGGCCAAUCAAACCGGGAGAUAGCUGGUUCUCCCCGAAAGCUAUUUAGGUAGCGCCUCGUGAAUUCAUCUCCGGGGGUAGAGCACUGUUUCGGCUAGGGGGCCAUCCCGGCUUACCAACCCGAUGCAAACUGCGAAUACCGGAGAAUGUUAUCACGGGAGACACACGGCGGGUGCUAACGUCCGUCGUGAAGAGGGAAACAACCCAGACCGCCAGCUAAGGUCCCAAAGUCAUGGUUAAGUGGGAAACGAUGUGGGAAGGCCCAGACAGCCAGGAUGUUGGCUUAGAAGCAGCCAUCAUUUAAAGAAAGCGUAAUAGCUCACUGGUCGAGUCGGCCUGCGCGGAAGAUGUAACGGGGCUAAACCAUGCACCGAAGCUGCGGCAGCGACACUGUGUGUUGUUGGGUA